UGUGUGUGUGUGUGUGUGUGUGCGUGCGCGCACUUUUACAUCAAAGUAGGUGAGGCCGCUUAAAUUACCUGCUCAUUAUGAGGCUGGAGAAAAAUUGCUCUUCCGUGAUGUUUAGAGAAGCGGCAAUCUAUGGAUAAUGAUGCGAGCCGACAGAAUUCUGGCUUAUGCAGUCUGUCAGUCUGCGAGCUCAUUUAUCCACCGUGGUCAUGCAAGAUCCCAUCACACCUUAUAGAGUUGCCUUUGUCAGUGUGUUUACAGAGCAGCCAGGUGACAGUGGAGUGAUGACAGGUGUAUACACAGCUGUGACAGGUGAGCGUUGGACACUGUACCAGGCGGAAAGCUUUGAUUUGGAUUCAGUAA
Long non-coding RNA from Cyprinus carpio carpio, 360 nucleotides. Lineage: Eukaryota; Metazoa; Chordata; Actinopteri; Cypriniformes; Cyprinidae. The record is from Ensembl.